AACACGUCUGUGAGAUCACCUGGGCUUAGCACACACCUGUUCCUGCACAGGAAUUUAUCCUGUUGCAUUUAGUCACAGCUGGUGGCACAUUAUGAAUGGUGGAUCGUCACAAGAUGCAAAUUAAACGACGGAAUACGGGUGAAAUGAUACAAAACAAGAAAUCAACUGAACAAAAUGAUCCACAUCUUGCUAUUACCAAACAUCUAUGGAACAUGCAAAGGCAGAAUGGAGCUGGAUCCAUGGAAAGGUCACUCAGCAGGAAGGAGGCACAGAAACCAACAAACAAGGGAGAUGAGGACCACAGAACCCCUGAUAUGCUCAACACAGAAGAUAUUAAAAAAGAAUGCAGAAGAAGAAAUAUAUGCACACUGACUUUUUCCUGCCUGGUCUUUUCCUGGCUUUACCUAUCAGCAAGAGGAGCCAAGAGGACAUUAAUGUCACUCCACCAAAAAGUUCACAUUUGCCCUCAGGAGGUACAAAUCCUACAGAGUACCGCCUUUGACUAAGGGCUGCCUGCAAAAGCUGUGCAAGAAACUUAACUGGUCAGUUUAAGUGCAGAAUCAUUUGUCCACAGGUUAAAAUGCAAAAUCAGUUCAGC
Molecule: long non-coding RNA, 598 nt
Organism: Passer domesticus (house sparrow)
Lineage: Eukaryota; Metazoa; Chordata; Aves; Passeriformes; Passeridae
Exons: 4
Source: RefSeq, a predicted model, not a curated record